GUGAUCAAGUGCAUUCAUAACCGAGAAUUGCGGCGAUCCGGAUCAAAUUACAUCCUGCAGGAGAGUACCUUAAUCACCAGCUAUGUACGACUGUCCAAGUCGUACGUAACGACCUUUCGAUUAGCAAACCCAAGGAUUGGGAAUAAGACUACCCGGACCCAGGGACGCACCCCCACAUGGGACCCCACGUCUGGCCUGAUCUCCGUGUGAGUUUCAGGCUACGCCCCUGCCAAUCUCCAGCACGUCAAGCACGGGUACGAAGUAUUCCCGAUCAGAGAGUUUACUAACCUACCGGGCUUUACUGAUCCCAUACCCAGUAAGUAAUCAAGUGUCAUUCACUUGAUCAAAGGUUAAGACGACGAUCGGGCCUUAACUAGAUUAACCUAGCAGACAGAACUAUCAUCUCUAGUUUCUGCCUGGCUUUCGACUCCUAAGCUACCUUUCCAUAUUUACCAUGUAUGACUCAAUAUUUUACCUUAAGGGUUGGUAACAAGUUACUUUAAGCAACAAAGCAUUCUAAUCUUGGGUGACUUACUAACUGUUUGAACAAGUGGCAAAGAUGUCCUUAAAACAAGGUAUGAUUAUGCACAAGAAUGGGUUUCAUUCAACUCCUAGACUUAGUGCAUUCAUAUAGAAAAUAACCGAUAAUUGGACACAUGAAAUAAUAAUUCCAAAAUAAAUAGGUAUAAUGCACCAGGGCUUUCCUUGUUCUAUAAAAAUGUUAGCACUGCUUGACGGAUUGGCUUCGCAGGGGAUCAACUCAACAAUUUCUUCAAACUCCGGAGAUCCUUCUGAUAAUUCCAAGAAAUCCUCUUCUGGUGCUUCGGUGUCU
RNAcentral lists this long non-coding RNA (832 nucleotides) under Setaria italica (foxtail millet). RNAcentral's name for it is "long non-coding RNA (SITA_LNC005375)". The record is from RNAcentral. Lineage: Eukaryota; Viridiplantae; Streptophyta; Magnoliopsida; Poales; Poaceae.